GACGAACGCUGGCGGCGUGCUUAACACAUGCAAGUCGAACGGUGAAGGGACCAGCUUGCUGGUUCUGGAUGAGUGGCGCACGGGUGAGUAACACGUGAGUAACCUGCCCCCUUCUUCUGGAUAACCGCAUGAAAGUGUGGCUAAUACGGGAUAUUCUGGGUCUGUCGCAUGGCGGGCCCGGGAAAGAUAUUGCUUCGGUGGGGGAUGGGCUCGCGGCCUAUGAGCUUGUGGGUGGGGUGAUGGCCUACCAGGGCGGGGACGGGUAGCCGGCCGAGGGGGGGGGGGGCUGAGAGGGGGCAGGGACACGGGCGGAACGUCUAAGGGAGGAAGCAGUGGGGGAUAUUGCACAAUGGGCGCAAGCCUGAUGCAGCGAAGCCGCGUGAGAGAUGGAGGCCUUCGGGUAGUACACCUUUUUGGCCAGUGAAGCAGGCCUGCUCCUUGUGGGUGGGUUGACGGUAGCUUGAUAAGAAGCGCCGGCUAACUACGUG
This 488-nucleotide ribosomal RNA is filed under the name uncultured bacterium. RNAcentral describes it as "partial 16S ribosomal RNA". It matches the Rfam family "Bacterial small subunit ribosomal RNA", at positions 28 to 507 of the family's 1533-position model. The record is from RNAcentral.